This 878-nucleotide ribosomal RNA is filed under the name uncultured Neocallimastigales. RNAcentral's name for it is "partial large subunit ribosomal RNA". It matches the Rfam family "Eukaryotic large subunit ribosomal RNA", at positions 1 to 639 of the family's 3401-position model. The record is from RNAcentral. Lineage: Eukaryota; Fungi; Neocallimastigomycota; Neocallimastigomycetes; Neocallimastigales.
CGCAUCUGUGCAUGCAGCAUAUCAAUAAGCGGAGGAAAAGGCUGCGGAACUGAACGACCGCUACCUACGCUUAGGAUGUUGACGCGCGUGUGUGCGUGAGUCUAUACAUGACUCUGUGCAUAUCAAUAAGCGGAGGAAAAGAAACUAACAAGGAUUCCCUUAGUAACGGCGAGUGAAGCGGGAAGAGCUCAAAUUUGAAAUCUUCAAGGUUUUACCUUGACGAAUUGUAGUUUAAAGAAGUGUUUUCUGUUGAAGUUUUGGUAAAAGUUCUUUGGAAUAGGACAUCAUAGAGGGUGAGAAUCCCGUAUUUGACCAUUAUUUUCAGCUGUGUGAUACACUUUCAAAGAGUCGGAUUGUUUGGGAAUGCAGUCCAAAAUGGGUGGUAAAUUUCAUCUAAAGCUAAAUAUUGGCGAGAGACCGAUAGCGAACAAGUACCGUGAGGGAAAGAUGAAAAGAACUUUGAAAAGAGAGUUAAACAGUACGUGAAAUUGUCAAAAGGGAAGCGUUUGACACCAGUGUUGUUUUCUCGAAAAUCAAUUAAAAAGAGUUAGAUUUUGUUGUGUAUUGACCUUAACAGCUUGCAUUUCAAUUUUCUUGCUUUUUUUAAUGCACUUUUCGUUUAACAAGUCAACAUCAGUUUCUUUUGUUGUAAAAAGGUCAUUGGAAGGUGGCUUUCUUUUCGGAGAAAGUGUUUAUAGCCUUUGACUCCUGCAAUCGGAGAGACUGAGGUCUGCAGCGUAGAUCCUUUGGGGUUAGAUACAUUUGUGCUAAGCUACAGCUUUUCAUAGACAACUUGUUGACUAUGAUUUAGUCUUGUAGCUUACUCCGCUUGAUGCUAUUUUACCUACGCUUAGGAUGUUGACGCGCGUGUGUGCGUG